This 551-nucleotide ribosomal RNA is filed under the name uncultured Diversispora. RNAcentral's name for it is "SSU rRNA". It matches the Rfam family "Eukaryotic small subunit ribosomal RNA", at positions 548 to 1098 of the family's 1831-position model. Lineage: Eukaryota; Fungi; Glomeromycota; Glomeromycetes; Diversisporales; Diversisporaceae. The record is from RNAcentral.
UUGGAGGGCAAGUCUGGUGCCAGCAGCCGCGGUAAUUCCAGCUCCAAUAGCGUAUAUUAAAGUUGUUGCAGUUAAAAAGCUCGUAGUUGAACUUCGGGGUUUACUCAUUGGUCAGGCUUAAUUGUCUGCACUGGUGAGAUGAAUCUCUACCUUCUGAGGAACUUUCAUGCCAUUUAUUUGGUGUGAUGGGAGAUCAGGACUGUUACUUUGAAAAAAUUAGAGUGUUUAAAGCAGGCUAACGUCUGAAUACAUUAGCAUGGAAUAAUGAAAUAGGACGGACUGAUUCUAUUUCGUUGGUUUCUAGGAUCACCGUAAUGAUUAAUAGGGAUAGUUGGGGGCAUUAGUAUUCAAUUGUCAGAGGUGAAAUUCUUGGAUUUAUUGAAGACUAACUACUGCGAAAGCAUUUGCCAAGGAUGUUUUCAUUAAUCAAGAACGAAAGUUAGGGGAUCGAAGACGAUCAGAUACCGUCGUAGUCUUAACCAUAAACUAUGCCGACCAGGGAUCGGACGAUGUUAACUUUUUAAUGACUCGUUCGGCGCCUUACGGGAAAC